RNAcentral lists this ribosomal RNA (249 nucleotides) under uncultured bacterium. Its description in RNAcentral is "partial 16S ribosomal RNA". It matches the Rfam family "Bacterial small subunit ribosomal RNA", at positions 84 to 334 of the family's 1533-position model. The record is from RNAcentral.
UACGAUGGCGACCGGCGCACGGGUGAGUAACACGUAUCCAACCUGCCGAUAACUCGGGGAUAGCCUUUCGAAAGAAAGAUUAAUACCCGAUGGUAUAAUAAAGCCGCAUGGUUUAAUUAUUAAAGAAUUUCGGUUAUCGAUGGAGAUGCGUUCCAUUAGGCAGUUGGUGAGGUAACGGCUCACCAAACCUUCGAUGGAUAGGGGUUCUGAGAGGAAGGUCCCCCACAUUGGAACUGAGACACGGUCCAA